UUCCGCUCGUUUCGACGGAACUCGGCACGAUUUACGAGGGAUGUGGUAUGUUACAUUCUCCACCCCUAAAAUUUAGUUUCGUCCGCGAAACUAACAAGUUUGAAAUUUAAAUUUCAUACAUCACUUCGGAUCCUCAAAGAGGUGAGGAUAAUGCUCCCUUAUUUCGCUUUCGAGCUCCCACGUUUCUUCCCGGUCAUUGUGUUCGCACCAAUGAACUUUAACAUACGGGAUUUCGCGGUUCCGAAGUUUUCGCACCUCCCGGUCGACAACAUAC
This 274-nucleotide long non-coding RNA is filed under the name Ananas comosus (pineapple). Its description in RNAcentral is "long non-coding RNA (ACOM_LNC035169)". The record is from RNAcentral. Lineage: Eukaryota; Viridiplantae; Streptophyta; Magnoliopsida; Poales; Bromeliaceae.